Long non-coding RNA from Bos grunniens (domestic yak), 2583 nucleotides. Lineage: Eukaryota; Metazoa; Chordata; Mammalia; Artiodactyla; Bovidae. The record is from Ensembl.
GCAAAGACCUACUUAAGCCAGCCUCUAGCUUUGCUCUGCCCCCAUCCCAUCUCAUCCUUCGUCAAAGGGGCGUGGCAUUUAAACAAAUGCACUCAGCUGGGAGGGUAUCCCAACCCUGAGGCCCGCGUCACCAGCGCGGGCGGGCGGCUGCGGAGUCUCCCAGAAAAGCUGGUAUCUCCCAGAGUGGUCUGGUUCGGGCUCCCCAGCCCCGGAGGGGCGGCUAAGAAGAAGGCGCUCACUGGUUGCUAUAGCGGCGAUCUAAGAGGCUGGGGAAAGUUGAUUGGCCGCAGGUUCGUAGCGCGGACCACGCCCACCCCUUCCGGCGGCUGCAAUCAGAAUUGUUUGUUUCCUCAAAAAUGUCUCCUAUGGAGAGUGGGUCACUGCAUAAAUGAAAAAUAUUAAUUAGGACAUUUAUAUUUUUAAGUGUCUGUAAUCCUCAUGUUGGAUCAUCAAAAAAGUGAGACAGUUCCAGAAAAAUAUCUACUUCUGCUUUAUUGACUAUGCCAAAGACUGACUGUGUGGAUCACAAGAAACUGUGUAAAAUUCUUAAAGAAAUGGAAAUACCAGACCACCUGACCUGCCCCCUGAGACCUCUGUAUGCAGGUCAAGAAGCAACAGUUAGAACUGGACAUGGAACAACAGACUUUCCAAAUUGGUAAAGGAGUACAUCAAGGCUGUAUAUUGUCACCCUGCUUAUUUAACUUAUAUGCAGAGCACAUCAUGAGAAAUGCUGGACUGGAUGAAGCACAAGCUGGAAUCAAGAUUGCCGGGAGAAAUAUCAAUAACCUCAGAUAGGCAGAUGAUACUACAGUUAUGCCAGAAAGUGAAGAACUAAAGAGCCUCUUGAUGAAAGUGAAAGAGGAGAGUGAGAAAGUUGGCUUAAAACUCAACAUUCAGAAAACUUAAGAUCCUGGCAUCUGGUCCCAUCACGUCAUGGCAAAUAGAUGGGGAAACAAUGGAAACAGUGACAGACUAUUUUUUUGGGCUCCAAAAUCACUGCAGAUGGUGACUGCAGCCAUGAAAUUAAAAGACGCUUGCUCCUUGGAAGAAAAGUUAUGACCAACCUAAACAGCAUAUUAAAAAGCAGAGACAUUACUCUGUCAACAAAGGUCCAUCUAGUCAAAGCUAUGGUUUUUCCAGUAGUCAUGUAUGGAUGUGGGAGUUGAACUAUAAAGAAAGCUGAGUGGCAAAGAAUUGAUGCUUUUGAACUGUGGUGUUGGAGAAGACUCUUGAGAGUCCCUUGGACUGCAAGGAGAUCCAACCAGUCCAUCCUAAAGGAAAUCAGUCCUGAAUAUUCAUUGUAAGGACUGAUGCUGAGCUGAAACUCCAAUACUUUGGUCACCUGAUGUGAAGAACUGACUCAUUUGAAAAGACCCUGAUGCUGGGAAAGAUUGAAGGUGGGAGGAGAAGGGGAUGACAGAGGAUGAGAUGGUUGGAUUGCAUCACUGACUCAAUGGACAUGAGUUUGAGUAAACUUCGGGAGUUGGUGAUGGACAGGGAAGCCUGGCAUGCUGCCGUCCAUGGGGUCGCAAGGAGUCGGACUCGACUGAGUGACUGAACAACAAUCCUCAAAGUUCCUGAAAUCUUUUAAAAACUGAAUCUGCAUAUUAAAUAUAUAUAUUUUAAGCACUGUUAAGUUCUGAUAGAGUAUACAGUACUGUUAAGGACAGGCAUAUUUUAUAAAUUAAAUAUAAUAUCAUAUGGUUAAGAGCUCUAAUCAAGCUUCAAUAAAAUACUGGGGGAUCUGAAGAGUAAUGAAAUCAUAAAAUACUCAGGAAAGUGUGAAUAAAAAGGAAAAUAUCAGAUGCAAGAAAAAUAUUUGCUAACAACUGACAGAUUAAAGAAGAUUGUUCUUGGAGAAAGGCAUCCUUGGUAAGAAAAAAUAGUCACUAUAAGUGAGAACCUGAGUUAACCCUCAAAUGUUUCACAUCAGGUAUAAUGCUGAAAUUACAUCUAAACUUGAGGAGACCUUAAGAGGUGGAAAAUAGCCAUAAAAAGAUGUUCUUUUGGUAAACUGAAUUGUUAGUGGAUAUGUCAUUUUGUGAUAAAAGGCAGUUUCUCUUCAGUCUUUAUUAGGGAAGAUAGAAAUUCCUGCUCCCAAUUUGACAAUGUGUGAAUAAGUUGGAGGUAACCAUUCCAUGAUGGCCAAUACACAGUAAUUUAGAAAUCAAUUAUAUACAAUAAAAAGUGUAAACUAAUUGGGGCUUAUUUGAAGAUUGAGUGAAGAUUUCCCUUGCUUCUCAAGGCUGGGAACUAAAAGCCAGCUCUUAGGAUUUAUAAGGCUUGUAUUCCCUCUUCCAUCUCUGAAAAUUCUCCUAAUCAAAUAAGAUUAGAUCAAAGUCAGCCUGCAGGAAGAAGGCAAAGGCAUCCACCCUCCUAAUUCCAGCUCAGAGAAUAUGUAGUUCACCCUAAAGUGGCCAAUCAAUUUCUCUUUGUUAACUAAGAAUGACAGAACAUAUACCAUUUUACUGAAUAGUAAAACUAAUGAAUUUAGAAAUCAGAUUAAAAGAUGCAAUAUAGGACCAUUCAUCAUUCAAAAAUAUAGACAGGAUGACAAGCCCCAGAAAUCAAUGAGGGAUGAGG